This is a long non-coding RNA of Triticum aestivum (bread wheat), 747 nucleotides long. RefSeq lists it as uncharacterized. NCBI's taxonomy places the organism in Eukaryota, Viridiplantae, Streptophyta, Magnoliopsida, Poales, Poaceae. The record is from RefSeq and is a predicted model, not a curated record. The transcript is spliced from 2 exons.
AUAAUGCUACACGUUAUGGCAUAUCUCACAUACAUAUUAUAUUUAGCCGGCCCACUGCUGCAAGACCUCACUACACAUCAGUUCCUCCCCAAAUAUCUAGAUCCCCAAAUCUCAAACCCCUAGCUUGGCAGUGCUCCCUUCUCUUGUGAUGUCCACCGCGAGUUAUUCUGUAUCCGGCAUUCGUUGCCAUACCCCAGUAUACCAACUUCCACUUAUGUUCUGCCCCAUUGUCGUGAGCAAGUUGUGGUUCUCGUCUCCGCAAGUAUCCUCAUGAUGGUUAGGUGUUCUACAAGUGCAAAUCGGACAGACUUGCGCAUAAAUUCUAGCAUUGGGAGCUACAGUAUGUGGAGUAUCUGAUUCAGUAACGGUACCUUGUUGGUGCACUACAGUAUGCUAGAGCUACAAGGGAAGAGCUUGAGCAUGAGAAAGCAGUGAAACUAGCCAUUGUUGCAUCCAGUAUCGGCAGCAAUGCCGCUGACGAUCGCAGACUGUUGACGAUGAUGAAUGCUUUGAUACUGAUAGCAAGAGAGAUAUUGUUCCUCAUGAAGUUAGGCCUUGGUCUGGGUUUACUGGUAUGCUUUCUGAUGCUCUUUGUAAUGUUGAUGAAAUGAUAUGAGCAGUCACAUUAGUCUUUCUUGAUGUAUCUUUGUUUCUAUGAGUUGGUAUGGGUUUGUUGCUAUGCUUUAUGAUGCUCUUUGUAAUGCGUAUGACCAGUAACAUUAGUACUUCUGUUUGUAUCUUUGUUUC